GUAAGCCUUCAACCGAAAACAUAAUAGAUAAAAGACCAAUCCCUUCUUCGGCAGCGAUAAAAGACGAUCUCCAGCGACAUCUCAUCGGCAAACCAAUCCCUUCUUCAGCAAACCAUCUCCAGCGACAUCUCAUACCCGUUACUGCAACAGCAUCUCCAACAAGGGUGAAGACUCCUUAAGUAUUUCCAGAGGUUUGUCGUCUUGGCAAAUACAAGAAACCAGAAUUAAGUACUUCAAUAAAGAAGAUGCGGCCAGAAGUAAAACCGGACUUACACAAGACAUAGUCCAUAUACAUCAUGGGGAACUGGGGACAAAAUCACCAAAACAGAAAAAGGAAAAAGAUAUUUAUAGGCCGGCCAUCUACAGACUAGAGGGGUCAAAACAAUCCUACUGAAAUCAAUUCUUGAGCCGCUGCCAUGGGAAAGAACGAGUUCCUGACGCCAAAGGCAAUAGCGAAUAGAAUCAAAGCGAAAGGCUUACAAAAACUCCGAUGGUAUUGUCAGAUGUGCCAAAAGCAAUGUCGGGAUGAGAAUGGCUUCAAGUGCCACUGCAUGAGCGAAUCACACCAGCGACAGAUGCAGGUUUUCGGCCAAAACCCUAAUCGAAUCAUCGAUGGCUAUUCCGAAGAGUUCGAACAAGCGUUUCUCGAACAUAUGAAGCGUAGUCACCGCUUUAGUCGCAUCGCCGCUACCGUGGUAUAUAACGAGUACAUCGCCGAUCGCCACCAUAUUCAUAUGAAUUCAACUCAGUGGGCGACUUUGACGGAGUUUGUUAAGUAUUUGGGGAGGACUGGCAAGUGUAAAGUUGAGGAAACUCCGAAAGGGUGGUUUAUUACUUAUAUUGAUCGUGAUUCGGAGACCUUGUUUAAGGAGAAGAUGAAGAAUAAGAGGAUUAGGGCGGAUUUAGCAGAGGAGGAGAAGCAGGAGAGGGAGAUUAAGAAGCAGAUUGAGCGUGCCGAGCAGCUGAUGUCAACUGGGAAUGAGAACAGGAAUGGGAAUGAACAGGAAGUUCAGGAGAAAAGGUUGUUUGAGAAAUCGGAGGACGAGAAAAUUAAGUUAAGUUUGGGAUCAUUGUCAAAAAGUAAUUUGAAGGAGGAGAGUUCUAGGGUUGUUUUUGAUGAUGUGGAGAAUGAGAGUAUAGGCGACAAGGGGAAUAAGGGCAGUGGAAAGAUGGGAAGCUCAGUGUUGGAUGAGUUGAUGAGGGAAGAAGAGAAGGCGAAGGAGAGGAGUAAUAGGAAGGAUUAUUGGUUGUGUGAGGGGAUUAUUGUGAAGAUAAUGAGCAGGGCACUGGAAGAAAAGGGGUACUAUAGGCAGAAAGGCAUAGUGCGGAAAGUGAUUGAUAAGUAUGUUGGGGAAAUUGAGAUGCUAGAGAGUAAGCAUGUCUUGAGAAUUGAUCAAGAAGAGCUUGAGACUGUGAUUCCACAAAUUGGAGGACUUGUGAGAAUAGUUAAUGGGGCUUAUCGUGGGUCAUAUGCUAGGCUGCUAGCUGUUGAUACAGAUAAGUUCUGUGCUAAGGUGCAGAUUGAGAAGGGGAUUUAUGAUGGCAGGGUGAUUAAGGCCAUUGAGUAUGAAGAUAUCUGCAAAUUGGCUCAAUGAAAAAUGUUGAUAAGAAUGUACUAACUGUAUUGUGAUCAAGUGGUAAUUGUUCUACUUUCCAGAGUUGUUAAGUACCAUGAUAGUCUGCAUCUUUUAUGAAUGAUUGCAAUCUUCUUUCUUUUCCAGAAGAUCAAGGAAACUGCUAGUAUUGAUAUUGUUGACAUUCUUGACACAUAUUCUCAUGGUACCAGAGUUGCUUGGGAAAUUUGGGAGGAUUUGUUGUGACUUUAUUUAACAGAAGAUGCAUGAGACAGAGUGAAGUUGAAUGUUCUAGCAGCAAGUGCCUUCUUUCAAAAAAACCAGCAAAUGGGGACAAGGUGUAUUGAAAAG
Non-coding RNA from Coffea arabica (coffee), 1925 nucleotides. NCBI's taxonomy places the organism in Eukaryota, Viridiplantae, Streptophyta, Magnoliopsida, Gentianales, Rubiaceae. The record is from RefSeq and is a predicted model, not a curated record.